RNAcentral lists this ribosomal RNA (253 nucleotides) under uncultured bacterium. RNAcentral describes it as "partial 16S ribosomal RNA". It matches the Rfam family "Bacterial small subunit ribosomal RNA", at positions 524 to 776 of the family's 1533-position model. The record is from RNAcentral.
UACGGAGGGUGCAAGCGUUAUCCGGAUUCACUGGGUUUAAAGGGUGCGUAGGCGGGUAUAUAAGUCAGUGGUGAAAGCUCCGGGCUUAACUUGGAAACUGCCAUUGAUACUGUAUAUCUUGAAUGUCGUUGAGGUAAGCGGAAUGUUGCAUGUAGCGGUGAAAUGCUUAGAUAUGUUACAGAACACCAAUUGUGAAGACAGCUUACUAAGCGAUGAUUGACGCUGAGGCACGAAAGCGUGGGGAGCAAACAGG